AUGCACGCUGGCGUCGUGCCUCAUACAUGCAAGUCGCGCGCACGGACGAGAAGCUUGCUUCUCUGAUGUUAGCGGCGGACGGGUGAGUAACACGUGGAUAACCUACCUAUAAGACUGGGAUAACUUCGGGAAACCGGAGCUAAUACCGGAUGAUAUUUUGAACCGCAUGGUUCAAAAGUGAAAGACGGUCUUGCUGUCACUUAUAGAUGGAUCCGCGCUGCAUUAGCUAGUUGGUAAGGUAACGGCUUACCAAGGCAACGAUGCAUAGCCGACCUGAGAGGGUGAUCGGCCACACUGGAACUGAGACACGGUCCAGACUCCUACGGGAGGCAGCAGUAGGGAAUCUUCCGCAAUGGGCGAAAGCCUGACGGAGCAACGCCGCGUGAGUGAUGAAGGUCUUCGGAUCGUAAAACUCUGUUAUUAGGGAAGAACAUAUGUGUAAGUAACUGUGCACAUCUUGACGGUACCUAAUCAGAAAGCCACGGCUAACUACGUG
Molecule: ribosomal RNA, 496 nt
Filed under: uncultured bacterium
Lineage: Bacteria
Description: partial 16S ribosomal RNA
Rfam family: Bacterial small subunit ribosomal RNA
Source: RNAcentral